AAAAAACACUAAUUGAUGGGUUAAUUUUGGGAAUCUUAUAUUUACCUUUGCUCAGAGAAAAGUCUACCUCUUUAAAAUUUUUUUUAGUGUUUAUUUUAUUAUUUUUGAGAGAGAGAGAGAGAGAGUACAAGCAGGGUAGGGGCAGAGAGAGAGGGAGUCAUAGAAUCCAAAGCAGGCUCCAGGCUCUGAGCUGUCAGCACAGAGCCUGAUUCAGGGCUUGAAUUCACAAACCAUGAGAUCAUGACCUGAACUGAAGUCGGAUGCUCAACAACUGAGCCACCCAGGUGCCCUAAAAGUCUACCUCUUCUAUGUAUUUACAAUCUGAGGGAGACACACUGAGGCAGAUAGACACCAAAAGGAAGUAGACACAACUAAUUAACAAACACUGGAUAAACACAAAUAGAUAAGAGUAAAUAUUGGCUUCGAAUUCUAUCACAUUUCACAGAAGAGAACCUUGUUCCCACAGACAGAGAGCCAUCAUUAUGUCCCAGCAUCCCUCGAUUCCGCAGGGAUUGAAAGUCCCCAAGGAAAUGUGAUGUGACCUGUGAUGUACCAUUUUGGACCAGUCAGAAGGUGUGAAGGGCUUCUAGGACUUUGUUUAAAAGGGCCAAUGGAAAUGAGGAAGGAGGAGAGGCAGUGUUUUGGCCCCUGAUUGGUCGAAGAGAGUGACAAAAUGGAGAAAAGGAGGAAAGAACCAUCAAAUCCUGCAGCUGCAUCUGGAAGAAGAAGACUAAGAUGUUCCAGGUUUAAUUACCAGAAUGUGGGAGGCGACCUUGGAAGAGCAGUUCCAGGAGGUCACCAUCUGGCCCUUGGACAACUCCCAGCCAAAAAGACCAGAGAUACAGAAAAGAUACAACAGACGGAGGAGUGGAUGGGGCAGCAUUCUGCAUUGUCAUGCUUCCUUCCUCUUUCUCUCCAGAACCUUGCCCUGAAAAAUUAUCUUUAAUAUAACAUACAAUGAGUCAGCUGUCUAGAUUACAAAACUACUUCAAUGUUUGAAAACAAAAUGGAACAGAAUAAAAUCUGGGCUUGAGAGUUUAGGGUGGAGGAG
RNAcentral lists this long non-coding RNA (1051 nucleotides) under Felis catus (domestic cat). RNAcentral describes it as "lncRNA (ENSFCAG00000043684.2)". Lineage: Eukaryota; Metazoa; Chordata; Mammalia; Carnivora; Felidae. The record is from RNAcentral.